Molecule: ribosomal RNA, 351 nt
Filed under: uncultured euryarchaeote
Lineage: Archaea; Methanobacteriati; Methanobacteriota
Description: bacterial SSU rRNA
Rfam family: Archaeal small subunit ribosomal RNA
Source: RNAcentral
CCUGUUAAAGUUCAGGGCAACCGAGGCGAGACCCGGCAUCCUUAAUUGGCAGCAGUACCCUUGUGUAGCUGGUACAUAGGAGACGCGUGCUACACGAGAAGAACGCCACGUAGUCGAGCCGAUUGCGGCACACGCGGCACAUGCCGGACGUGGACGCACCCGAGAGGGGCGCUAUCUCCUAACCGGUCGUAGUUCGGAUUGCGGGCUGAACCGCCCGCAUGAAGCUGGAUUCGGUAGUAAUCGCGUCUCAGAAGGGCGCGGUGAAUACGUCCCUGCUCCUGCACACACCGCCCGUCAAAGCACCCGAGUGAGGUCCGGAUGAGGCCGUCGCACGACUGGUCGAAUCUGGCU